Molecule: ribosomal RNA, 229 nt
Filed under: uncultured bacterium
Lineage: Bacteria
Description: partial 16S ribosomal RNA
Rfam family: Bacterial small subunit ribosomal RNA
Source: RNAcentral
UGCGUAGGCGGGCUAGUAAGUCAGUGGUGAAAUCCCUCAGCUUAACUGAGGAACUGCCAUUGAUACUGUUAGUCUUGAGUAUAGUUGAGGUGGGCGGAAUGUGUCAUGUAGCGGUGAAAUGCAUAGAUAUGACACAGAACACCGAUUGCGUAGGCAGCUCACUAAACUAUCACUGACGCUGAUGCACGAAAGCGUGGGUAGCGAACAGGAUUAGAUACCCUGGUAGUCC